Molecule: ribosomal RNA, 534 nt
Filed under: uncultured Pseudomonadota bacterium
Lineage: Bacteria; Pseudomonadati; Pseudomonadota
Description: bacterial SSU rRNA
Rfam family: Bacterial small subunit ribosomal RNA
Source: RNAcentral
AGAGUUUGAUCUGGCUCAGAACGAACGCUGGCGGCGUGCCUAAUACAUGCAAGUCGUGCGAGAAAGUCCGCAAGGAUGAGUAAAGCGGCGAACGGGUGCAUAACACGUAGGUAACCUGCCCCUAGGUCCGGGACAACCUGCUGAAAGGCGGGCUAAUACUGGAUAUGACCACGACACUCACGGGUGUUGCGGUAAAAGGUGGCCUCUCCACGGAAGCUACCACCAAGGGAUGGGCCUGCGCACCAUUAGCUAGUUGGCGAGGUAAAAGCUCACCAAGGCUACGAUGGUUAGCUGGUCUGAGAGGAUGAUCAGCCACACUGGAACUGAAAUACGGUCCAGACUCCUACGGGAGGCAGCAGUAGGGAAUAUUGCGCAAUGGGGGAAACCCUGACGCAGCAACGCCGCGUGAGUGAUGAAGGCCUUCGGGUCGUAAAGCUCUGUCGAAAGGGACGAAUCCAUCGGAUGCUAAUAUCAUCCGGUGCUGACGGUACCUUAAAGGAAGCACCGGCUAACUCCGUGCCAGCAGCCGCGGUA